CUGCACUCCCUGAUUGCAGCUCCAUCCAGCUUGCAUUCAGAGUGGUCCUCCACCUGCUGGUGUUUUGUCCAUACUUUAUCUCCACUCUCCUCAUGGUGUCUUUGUAUCGAUGCAGAACCAAAGGAAAUUCCCAUUGUGCUUCUCAUAAUGAUGAGAAUAAUGAUGUCAUCACUGAUGUCACCACAGAGCAUCACCUCUGAAUCGCCUCUAUUGUGUCUCAGGGAUUUCUGCAAACAUUAUAUCAGUAAUAAAGAAAGCUGUGCAUUUA
This is a long non-coding RNA of Oreochromis aureus, 268 nucleotides long. RefSeq lists it as uncharacterized. The transcript has 2 exons. NCBI's taxonomy places the organism in Eukaryota, Metazoa, Chordata, Actinopteri, Cichliformes, Cichlidae. The record is from RefSeq and is a predicted model, not a curated record.